UCCCUGGUGGUCCAGUGGUUAGGACUCCACGCUUUCACUGCUGAUGGUCUGGGUUCGAUUCCUCAUCAGGGAA
Ovis aries (sheep) is the source of this 73-nucleotide transfer RNA. It matches the Rfam family "tRNA". From Rfam's summary of the family: Transfer RNA (tRNA) molecules are approximately 80 nucleotides in length. Their secondary structure includes four short double-helical elements and three loops (D, anti-codon, and T loops). Further hydrogen bonds mediate the characteristic L-shaped molecular structure. tRNAs have two regions of fundamental functional importance: the anti-codon, which is responsible for specific mRNA codon recognition, and the 3' end, to which the tRNAs corresponding amino acid is attached (by aminoacyl-tRNA synthetases). tRNAs cope with the degeneracy of the genetic code in two manners: having more than one tRNA (with a specific anti-codon) for a particular amino acid; and 'wobble' base-pairing, i.e. permitting non-standard base-pairing at the 3rd anti-codon position. The record is from Rfam. NCBI's taxonomy places the organism in Eukaryota, Metazoa, Chordata, Mammalia, Artiodactyla, Bovidae.